RNAcentral lists this long non-coding RNA (330 nucleotides) under Setaria viridis. Its description in RNAcentral is "long non-coding RNA (SVIR_LNC007723)". The record is from RNAcentral. Lineage: Eukaryota; Viridiplantae; Streptophyta; Magnoliopsida; Poales; Poaceae.
UUGAGUAUACAGUGCUUUUCUGUUUCCUCGGACUUGACUUGAAGUAGGAGCGAGCAUCUGGGAACGAAUUAUUUAGCAUUUUUUCUCUUUUACCCUAAGGCCCCGUUUGAAUCAUUGGAAUUGAAUUCCAUCCUAAUAAUCAUAAUUUAGACACAAAUUAAUUAAGCUAAUAUAAUUGUAUGUGGAAUAUAGUUGUAUAUUAUAGUUGGUGAUAUGGGAGAGAUACUUGUAUGCUGCACUUCUACUAUAGAGAAGCGAGUCUAAGAGCGUGCUAUAAGAAUUGAAUUCCAUUCUAAUAACCAUAAUCUAUAGAAUCAAUUUCCAUCUCCC